AGACCCGAAACCCGGUGAUCUAGCCAUGGGCAGGUUGAAGGUUGGGUAACACUAACUGGAGGACCGAACCGACUAAUGUUGAAAAAUUAGCGGAUGACCUGUGGCUGGGGGUGAAAGGCCAAUCAAACCGGGAGAUAGCUGGUUCUCCCCGAAAGCUAUUUAGGUAGCGCCUCGUGAAUUCAUCUCCGGGGGUAGAGCACUGUUUCGGCUAGGGGGCCAUCCCGGCUUACCAACCCGAUGCAAACUGCGAAUACCGGAGAAUGUUAUCACGGGAGACACACGGCGGGUGCUAACGUCCGUCGUGAAGAGGGAAACAACCCAGACCGCCAGCUAAGGUCCCAAAGUCAUGGUUAAGUGGGAAACGAUGUGGGAAGGCCCAGACAGCCAGGAUGUUGGCUUAGAAGCAGCCAUCAUUUAAAGAAAGCGUAAUAGCUCACUGGUCGAGUCGGCCUGCGCGGAAGAUGUAACGGGGCUAAACCAUGCACCGAAGCUGCGGCAGCGAACGUAUCACCCAAGACAACUUUACGG
This 528-nucleotide ribosomal RNA is filed under the name Salmonella enterica. Its description in RNAcentral is "partial 23S ribosomal RNA". It matches the Rfam family "Bacterial large subunit ribosomal RNA", at positions 711 to 1219 of the family's 2925-position model. The record is from RNAcentral. RNAcentral also lists the same sequence under 8 other names. Lineage: Bacteria; Pseudomonadati; Pseudomonadota; Gammaproteobacteria; Enterobacterales; Enterobacteriaceae.